GAAUUUAUAGUUUAUUAUUAAAAUAUUGAAUUUGUAAUUCAAUGAUGCCCGUGCUAAAUUCA
This 62-nucleotide transfer RNA is filed under the name Macrogyropus costalimai. RNAcentral's name for it is "tRNA-Thr". It matches the Rfam family "tRNA". From Rfam's summary of the family: Transfer RNA (tRNA) molecules are approximately 80 nucleotides in length. The record is from RNAcentral. Lineage: Eukaryota; Metazoa; Arthropoda; Insecta; Psocodea; Gyropidae.